UGCUGGGUAACUCAACGGUAGAGUGGCGGACUAUUAACUGUAAAUGCGGGUUCGAUUCCCGUCCCGGCUAUAA
This 73-nucleotide transfer RNA is filed under the name Caudoviricetes sp. Its description in RNAcentral is "tRNA-OTHER". It matches the Rfam family "tRNA". From Rfam's summary of the family: Transfer RNA (tRNA) molecules are approximately 80 nucleotides in length. Their secondary structure includes four short double-helical elements and three loops (D, anti-codon, and T loops). Lineage: Duplodnaviria; Heunggongvirae; Uroviricota; Caudoviricetes. The record is from RNAcentral.